AGGGGUGUCGCCAAGUGGUAAGGCAAGGGACUUUGACUCCCUCAUCCGCUGGUUCGAGUCCAGCCAUCCCUGCCA
Molecule: transfer RNA, 75 nt
Filed under: Bacillota bacterium
Lineage: Bacteria; Bacillati; Bacillota
Also listed under: 7 other names
Description: tRNA-Gln
Rfam family: tRNA
About the family: Transfer RNA (tRNA) molecules are approximately 80 nucleotides in length.
Source: RNAcentral